RNAcentral lists this ribosomal RNA (79 nucleotides) under Treponema sp. The record is from RNAcentral. Lineage: Bacteria; Pseudomonadati; Spirochaetota; Spirochaetia; Treponematales; Treponemataceae.
UUCCCAUUCCGAACACGGAAGUCAAGCUCUCUUGCGCCGAUGAUACUGCUUUUUGCGGGAAAGUAGGUAGUUGCCAGGC